GAACCCGCGAAGCUCAGCCAGCGGAGAAUCAAGGGAAUCAAGAAGAGUACCAUGUCGAGGAGGUCCCGUAUGCUCAGGAAGAGCAGGUUUAUGAGAAUCAGCAGCAGAAUCAGCAGACCUACCCAAUGCACGGCGGAAGUCCCUCGAGCGACUACUCCACAAUCUCGGCUCACUCUCUCAAACGCCGUCGCUCCACCACCGUCGACUCUACCGCCGAGCAAAUCGGUGAAGAAAUUGACCGACUCAUUCAGCUGUACCCGCAGCGUGAGAUGCUCAUUAGGCAGGCGUUCUUCAAAACUAUCUUUGCGUUGGAGGAUGAGACGGUGGAAUUUUCGAAUCUCGGGGAUUUAUUCGAGGAUCUCGCCGAACAGGAGAACUUUAAGAGGCGCCGACGAAGCAGGGCUCAGCGGCUGGAAUAAUAAAUUUUAUAACUUUUAUUUAAUUGCUAUUUAAUUUUCGUAUCACGUCUCUCUUGCUUAUGGAUUCUUGAUUUUUGAUUCUUGAUUCUUUGUCCAAUUUCUCAUAUCACGCGGUCUCACUACUUCAGUAAAUUUGAAUUCACUUUGUACUUUGCUUUUUUAUUCGCAAAAAUUGGCUCUUCAACUCCCAGUAUCAUUUUCUAUGCUCUUUUGCUCUUUCAAUUUUAACCCCAUAGCCCAGAAUUCCAGAGCCCAUGUCCCUCAUCAAGCAGGAGCACAUGAAUCCCCCACCACGCACCAUCACCCCACUACCACCGCCGACACACCAGAUUACAAUCGAGGAGUAUAAGGAAAGGGUGAAGAGGGACUAUUACCGGAACGCCACAAAAGACACGAGUCUGAAGAAGGUUGUGCUCUCGCUGAUCAAGGAUCGUCCAGGGAUGUGGCAGAACGGCAAUCGGUUUCAGCUUGAGAACUGGCGAGAACUGGGAGUUGAUGUGUAUCAGAGGACUGGACAGAUUGUUCGUGCUGAGUUAGGGGAAGUUUCAGGUCCCGUGAGGUGUCGGGAUAUACUUCGACGCCUCCUCUCUGCAACGGGAUUCAUGGGUCGUAGAAACUUACCGUACACGUUUGAUAGCAUGUCACCCCACUGUCGUACCAUUGACAAGUGACGGCACACGUUUACCAAGGCUCCUUUCGAAAAGUUCCGAUAAUAUUUUCCAGUUAACGACAUGCACAGGAUGUUCGUGGUGGGAAAAGCCGUACUCAAACAGAAGAUCACCGUCUGCAUCCGGUACAAGAAAUUGGAUCGCGCCGCUACCGAGGCGGACCUCUGGAAUUGGGAGUUCUACCGUCACUUUCUCUACUACCGUGAGAUGCUCGAUCGGUUUGAGGCAAAUCUUCGCGGCAAACAAUGGACCGGAGAGGAUCAGCCGACCGACGACGAUGACGAUAUCAUCUGUGAUGGGAUUUUCGAGGUGGAGAUGGUUGAUAG
This 1413-nucleotide small RNA is filed under the name Caenorhabditis elegans. Its description in RNAcentral is "Unclassified non-coding RNA C41H7.12". The record is from RNAcentral. Lineage: Eukaryota; Metazoa; Nematoda; Chromadorea; Rhabditida; Rhabditidae.